CGGACGGGUGAGUAAUGUAUGGGGAUCUGCCUGAUGGCGGGGGAUAACUACUGGAAACGGUAGCUAAUACCGCAUAAUGUCUACGGACCAAAGCGGGGGACCUCCGGGCCUCGCGCCAUCAGAUGAACCCAUAUGGGAUUAGCUAGUGGGUAAGGUAACGGCUUACCUAGGCGACGAUCCCUAGCUGGUCCGAGAGGAUGAUCAGCCACACUGGGACUGAGACACGGCCCAG
This 232-nucleotide ribosomal RNA is filed under the name uncultured bacterium. RNAcentral's name for it is "partial 16S ribosomal RNA". It matches the Rfam family "Bacterial small subunit ribosomal RNA", at positions 99 to 334 of the family's 1533-position model. The record is from RNAcentral.